UACGGAGGAUGCAAGCGUUAUCCGGAAUGAUUGGGCGUAAAGCGUCCGCAGGUGGCAAUGUAAGUCUGCUGUCAAAGCGUCUGGCUCAACCAGAUAAAGGCAGUGGAAACUACAUAGCUAGAGUAAGGUAGGGGUAGAGGGAAUUCCUGGUGUAGCGGUGAAGUGCGUAGAGAUCAGGAAGAACACCGGUGGCGAAAGCGCUCUGCUGGACCUUAACUGACACUGAGGGACGAAAGCUAGGGGAGCGAAUGGG
This 253-nucleotide ribosomal RNA is filed under the name uncultured bacterium. RNAcentral's name for it is "partial 16S ribosomal RNA". It matches the Rfam family "Bacterial small subunit ribosomal RNA", at positions 524 to 776 of the family's 1533-position model. The record is from RNAcentral.